GACGGCAUGGCGAAAUGGUAGACGCGCUAGCUUAGAAAGCGUGUGUCCGAGAGGACGUGGAGGUUCGAGUCCUUCUGCCGUCG
This is a transfer RNA of Thecamonas trahens ATCC 50062, 83 nucleotides long. It matches the Rfam family "tRNA". Rfam says of the family: Transfer RNA (tRNA) molecules are approximately 80 nucleotides in length. Their secondary structure includes four short double-helical elements and three loops (D, anti-codon, and T loops). NCBI's taxonomy places the organism in Eukaryota, Apusomonadida, Apusomonadidae. The record is from Rfam.